This 466-nucleotide ribosomal RNA is filed under the name uncultured bacterium. RNAcentral describes it as "partial 16S ribosomal RNA". It matches the Rfam family "Bacterial small subunit ribosomal RNA", at positions 28 to 523 of the family's 1533-position model. The record is from RNAcentral.
GAUGAACGCUGGCGGCGUGCCUAACACAUGCAAGUCGAGCGAACCCUUCGGGGUGAGCGGCGGACGGGUGAGUAACGCGUGGGUAACCUGCCCUAUACACACGGAUAACGUACCGAAAGGUACGCUAAUACGGGAUAAAGAUGUUGGAGUGCAUCUUCUAACAAUCAAAGCUCUGGCGGUAGAGGGUGGAUCCGCGUCGGAUUAGGUAGUUGGUGAGGUAAUGGCUCACCAAGGCGACGAUCAGUAGCCGACCUGAGAGGGUGAUCGGCCACACUGGAACUGAGACACGGUCCAGACUCCUACGGGAGGCAGCAGUGGGGAAUAUUGCACAAUGGGCGAAAGCCUGAUGUAGCAACGCCGCGUGAGCGAUGAAGGUCUUCGGAUCGUAAAGCUCUGUCCUCGAGGAAGAUAAUGACGGUACUUGAGGAGGAAGCCCCGGCUAACUACGUGCCAGCAGCCGCGGUAA